GCCGAGAUAGCUCAGUUGGUAGAGCAACUGAUUCGUAAUCAGUAGGUCGGAGGUUCGACUCCUCUUCUCGGCACCA
RNAcentral lists this transfer RNA (76 nucleotides) under Gammaproteobacteria bacterium RIFCSPHIGHO2_02_FULL_42_13. RNAcentral's name for it is "tRNA-Thr". It matches the Rfam family "tRNA". Rfam says of the family: Transfer RNA (tRNA) molecules are approximately 80 nucleotides in length. Their secondary structure includes four short double-helical elements and three loops (D, anti-codon, and T loops). Lineage: Bacteria; Pseudomonadati; Pseudomonadota; Gammaproteobacteria. RNAcentral also lists the same sequence under 2 other names. The record is from RNAcentral.